Molecule: ribosomal RNA, 429 nt
Filed under: Bacillota bacterium
Lineage: Bacteria; Bacillati; Bacillota
Description: Firmicutes bacterium partial 16S ribosomal RNA
Rfam family: Bacterial small subunit ribosomal RNA
Source: RNAcentral
UGGGGAAUUUUGGACAAUGGGGGCAACCCUGAACCAGCAAUGCCGCGUGUGUGAAGAAGGCCUUCGGGUUGUAAAGCAUUUUUGUCCGGGAAGAAAUCGCACCUGAUAAUAACGGGUGUGGAUGACGGUACCGGAAGAAUAAGGACCGGCUAACCACGUGCCAGCAGCCGCGGUAAUACGUAGGGUCCAAGCGUUAAUCGGAAUUACUGGGCGUAAAGCGUGCGCAGGCGGUUGUGCAAGACCGGUGUGAAAUCCCCGGGCUUAACCUGGGAAUUGCAUUGGUGACUGCACGGCUGGAGUGUGUCAGAGGUGGGUGAAAUUCCACGUGUAGCAGUGAAAUGCGUAGAGAUGUGGAGGAAUACCGAUGGCGAAGGCAGCCCCCUGGGAUAACACUGACGCUCAUGCACGAAAGCGUGGGGGGCAAACAGG